Molecule: ribosomal RNA, 253 nt
Filed under: uncultured bacterium
Lineage: Bacteria
Description: partial 16S ribosomal RNA
Rfam family: Bacterial small subunit ribosomal RNA
Source: RNAcentral
UACGGAGGGUGCGAGCGUUAAUCGGAAUUACUGGGCGUAAAGCGCGCGUAGGCGGCCCGGCCAGUCUGACGUGAAAGCCCCGGGCUCAACCUGGGAACUGCGUUGGAUACUGCCGGGCUGGAGUGUGGGAGAGGGCGGUGGAAUUUCCGGUGUAGCAGUGAAAUGCGUAGAGAUCGGAAGGAACACCAGUGGCGAAGGCGGCCGCCUGGACCAACACUGACGCUGAGGCGCGAAAGCGUGGGGAGCAAACAGG